UUUACCGCCAAUAAUCAUAUGCAAUUUGAAAAAACGUGGUUGACUUCCAUUACUUUGAGAUAAUUAGUCAGUUAUCUUCUCUUAAAAUUUUAAACAACCCAUUAUUUUCAAACUACCCAUUAUCUUUUCUUCACCAAACUACCCAUUAUCUUCUCUAAAAAAACCAACCCAUUACAUUAUAAUUUUUCCGCAACUGCAACUCUGUCUUUCUCCAAAACACAGCUGCUUCUCACUUCUUUGAGCGACACACGCUCCCAUGUUCGGCCUCUCCGGCCUCCGCUCGCUGCCGUUACAUGUCAUCCACAGUUGGAACAUCGUUAUUGUUAGUGCCGCUUCGAUCGAAUUUCAUCAGCCACAUUAUUGAGUCGCGACCUCGCCGGUGACCACCGCACCAGUCUAGCGCCUUGCAGUGCUAUUCCAGCUGAACUGCCACCAUUGUAAAAGACCUUGCUAAUAAUAAUAUGAGUGCAUUGCAUGCACGAUGCAGAAGAACUUCAAGGAAUUGAGGUUGAUGUAAAUUGUAUUUAUAGUGCACUUACAAUCUCCAAAUAAAGAGGAUUAAAAUUGCGAUAAAGUGCACUUAAAAUUUGUUUUUUUUUUUUUUUUCAAUUUGAUCAGAACAUGUAGAAGACUUAACAAUUGAGAUUAUUCUUGAAAAUAUUUCUAUAACCAUUUGUAUUUUACUAUUAUAGAGAUAAUAACAGUUAAAUUAUUAAUUUGAUA
Molecule: long non-coding RNA, 723 nt
Organism: Salvia miltiorrhiza (redroot sage)
Lineage: Eukaryota; Viridiplantae; Streptophyta; Magnoliopsida; Lamiales; Lamiaceae
Exons: 2
Source: RefSeq, a predicted model, not a curated record